This 377-nucleotide ribosomal RNA is filed under the name Achromobacter sp. MP2-5. Its description in RNAcentral is "bacterial SSU rRNA". It matches the Rfam family "Bacterial small subunit ribosomal RNA", at positions 154 to 526 of the family's 1533-position model. Lineage: Bacteria; Pseudomonadati; Pseudomonadota; Betaproteobacteria; Burkholderiales; Alcaligenaceae. The record is from RNAcentral.
AAAGCGUAGCUAAUACCGCAUACGCCCUACGGGGGAAAGCAGGGGAUCGCAAGACCUUGCACUAUUAGAGCGGCCGAUAUCGGAUUAGCUAGUUGGUGGGGUAACGGCUCACCAAGGCGACGAUCCGUAGCUGGUUUGAGAGGACGACCAGCCACACUGGGACUGAGACACGGCCCAGACUCCUACGGGAGGCAGCAGUGGGGAAUUUUGGACAAUGGGGGAAACCCUGAUCCAGCCAUCCCGCGUGUGCGAUGAAGGCCUUCGGGUUGUAAAGCACUUUUGGCAGGAAAGAAACGUCAUGGGCUAAUACCCCKUKAWWYUGACGGUACCUGCARAAUAAGCACCGGCUAAYUACGUGCCAGCAGCCGCGGUAAUAC